AGUGAACGCUGGCGGUAUGCCUAACACAUGCAAGUCGAACGGCAGCACAGUAAGAUCUUGCUCUUACGGGUGGCGAGUGGCGGACGGGUGAGGAAUACAUCGGAAUCUACUUUUUCGUGGGGGAUAACGUGGGGAAACUUACGCUAAUACCGCAUACGACCUACGGGUGAAAGCAGGGGAUCUUCGGACCUUUCGCGAUUGAAUGAGCCGAUGUCGGAUUAGCUAGUUGGCUGGGUAAAGGCCCACCAAGGCGAAGAUCCGUAGCUUGUCUGACAGGAUGAUUCGCCACACUGGAACUGAGACAAGGGCCAGACUCCUAAGGGAGGCAGCAGUGGGGAAUAUUGGACAAUGGGCGCAAGCCUGAUCCAGCCAUAGCGCGUGGGUGAAGAAGGCCUUCGGGUUGUAAAGCCCUUUUGUUGGGAAAGAAAAGCAGCAGGUUAAUACCCCGCUGUUCUGACGGUACCCAAAGAAUAAGCACCGGCUAACUUCGUG
RNAcentral lists this ribosomal RNA (492 nucleotides) under uncultured bacterium. RNAcentral's name for it is "partial 16S ribosomal RNA". It matches the Rfam family "Bacterial small subunit ribosomal RNA", at positions 29 to 507 of the family's 1533-position model. The record is from RNAcentral.